GCCUGGAAAUAAACAUUACUUGCCAAAAGAGUACGAGCACCACCUCAAAACUUAAAAGACCUGGCGGUGUCCAAAAUCAACCUAGAGGAGCUUGUUAUAUAAUCGAUAAUCCACGUUAAACCUUACCUCCUCUGGCAAAUCCAGCCUAUAUACCGCCGUCGACAGCCCAUUUUUCAAAAAAUAGAGCAACUAAGACCCCCCCUAAAACGACAGGCCAAGGCGUAGCUUAUGAGAAGGACAACAAUGGGCUACACUACUAAACAUAACAAAAGCUUCACUGAAAUACAGUCGCACGAAGAAGAAUUUAGCAGUAAGAAGAAUUAGAGCGUUCUACUGAACCAGGACAUUGGACACGC
This 356-nucleotide ribosomal RNA is filed under the name Phrynocephalus axillaris (toad-headed agama). Its description in RNAcentral is "partial 12S ribosomal RNA". The record is from RNAcentral. Lineage: Eukaryota; Metazoa; Chordata; Lepidosauria; Squamata; Agamidae.